RNAcentral lists this ribosomal RNA (467 nucleotides) under uncultured bacterium. RNAcentral describes it as "partial 16S ribosomal RNA". It matches the Rfam family "Bacterial small subunit ribosomal RNA", at positions 29 to 507 of the family's 1533-position model. The record is from RNAcentral.
ACGAACGCUGGCGGCGUGCUUAACACAUGCAAGUCGAACGGAAAGGCCCUGCUUUUGUGGGGUGCUCGAGUGGAGAACGGGUGAGUAACACGUGAGUAACCUGCCCUUGACUUUGGGAUAACUUCAGGAAACUGGGGCUAAUACCGGAUAGGAGCUCCUGCUGCAUGGUGGGGGUUGGAAAGUUUCGGCGGUUGGGGAUGGACUCGCGGCUUAUCAGCUUGUUGGUGGGGUAGUGGCUUACCAAGGCUUUGACGGGUAGCCGGCCUGAGAGGGUGACCGGCCACAUUGGGACUGAGAUACGGCCCAGACUCCUACGGGAGGCAGCAGUGGGGAAUAUUGCACAAUGGGCGGAAGCCUGAUGCAGCAACGCCGCGUGCGGGAUGACGGCCUUCGGGUUGUAAACCGCUUUCGCCUGUGACGAAGCGUGAGUGACGGUAAUGGGUAAAGAAGCACCGGCUAACUACGUG